CUGGCGGCAGGCCUAACACAUGCAAGUCGAGCGGAUGAAGGGAGCUUGCUCCUGGAUUCAGCGGCGGACGGGUGAGUAAUGCCUAGGAAUCUGCCUGGUAGUGGGGGAUAACGUCCGGAAACGGGCGCUAAUACCGCAUACGUCCUGAGGGAGAAAGUGGGGGAUCUUCGGACCUCACGCUAUCAGAUGAGCCUAGGUCGGAUUAGCUAGUUGGUGGGGUAAAGGCCUACCAAGGCGACGAUCCGUAACUGGUCUGAGAGGAUGAUCAGUCACACUGGAACUGAGACACGGUCCAGACUCCUACGGGAGGCAGCAGUGGGGAAUAUUGGACAAUGGGCGAAAGCCUGAUCCAGCCAUGCCGCGUGUGUGAAGAGGGUCUUCGGAUUGUAAAGCACUUUAAGUUGGGAGGAAGGGCAGUAAGUUAAUACCUUGCUGUUUUGACGUUACCAACAGAAUAAGCACCGGCUAACUUCGUGCCAGCAGCCGCGGUAAUACGAAGGGUGCAAGCGUUAAUCGGAAUUACUGGGCGUAAAGCGCGCGUAGGUGGUUCAGCAAGUUGGAUGUGAAAUCCCCGGGCUCAAACUGGGAACUGCAUCCAAAACUACUGAG
This 609-nucleotide ribosomal RNA is filed under the name uncultured Pseudomonadales bacterium. RNAcentral describes it as "bacterial SSU rRNA". It matches the Rfam family "Bacterial small subunit ribosomal RNA", at positions 36 to 640 of the family's 1533-position model. The record is from RNAcentral. Lineage: Bacteria; Pseudomonadati; Pseudomonadota; Gammaproteobacteria; Pseudomonadales.